UUAGUGGAAGCGUCUGGAAAGGCGCGCGAUACAGGGUGACAGCCCCGUACACAAAAGCGCAUGUGCUGUGAGCUCGAUGAGUAGGGCGGGACACGUGGUAUCCUGUCUGAAUAUGGGGGGACCAUCCUCCAAGGCUAAAUACUCCUGACUGACCGAUAGUGAACCAGUACCGUGAGGGAAAGGCGAAAAGAACCCCGGCGAGGGGAGUGAAAAAGAACCUGAAACCGUGUACGUACAAGCAGUGGGAGCACCCUUUGGGGUGUGACUGCGUACCUUUUGUAUAAUGGGUCAGCGACUUAUAUUCUGUAGCAAGGUUAACCGUAUAGGGGAGCCGGAGGGAAACCGAGUCUUAACCGGGCGUUAAGUUGCAGGGUAUAGACCCGAAACCCGGUGAUCUAGCCAUGGGCAGGUUGAAGGUUGGGUAACACUAACUGGAGGACCGAACCGACUAAUGUUGAAAAAUUAGCGGAUGACCUGUGGCUGGGGGUGAAAGGCCAAUCAAACCGGGAGAUAGCUGGUUCUCCCCGAAAGCUAUUUAGGUAGCGCCUCGUGAACUCAUCUCCGGGGGUAGAGCACUGUUUCGGCUAGGGGGCCAUCCCGGCUUACCAACCCGAUGCAAACUGCGAAUACCGGAGAAUGUUAUCACGGGAGACACACGGCGGGGGCUAACGUCCGUCGUGAAGAGGGAAACAACCCAGACCGCCAGCUAAGGUCCCAAAGUCAUGGUUAAGUGGGAAACGAUGUGGGAAGGCCCAGACAGCCAGGAUGUUGGCUUAGAAGCAGCCAUCAUUUAAAGAAAGCGUAAUAGCUCACUGGUCGAGUCGGCCUGCGCGGAAGAUGUAACGGGGCUAAACCAUGCACCGAAGCUGCGGCAGCGA
This 878-nucleotide ribosomal RNA is filed under the name Salmonella enterica subsp. enterica serovar Oranienburg. RNAcentral's name for it is "bacterial LSU rRNA". It matches the Rfam family "Bacterial large subunit ribosomal RNA", at positions 329 to 1211 of the family's 2925-position model. The record is from RNAcentral. Lineage: Bacteria; Pseudomonadati; Pseudomonadota; Gammaproteobacteria; Enterobacterales; Enterobacteriaceae. RNAcentral also lists the same sequence under 1 other name.